RNAcentral lists this long non-coding RNA (672 nucleotides) under Felis catus (domestic cat). RNAcentral's name for it is "lncRNA (ENSFCAG00000041490.2)". Lineage: Eukaryota; Metazoa; Chordata; Mammalia; Carnivora; Felidae. The record is from RNAcentral.
AUGUCUGACCCUGUUCUCGGCGUGGGGACAUUAGAACGACCAUCGACCCGACCCCUGCCGUCGUGGAACCUCCCUGCCGGGCAGAGGAACCCGAAGGAAGUGGAAGCACCCCACCAGCCUCGAAGGCUUUUCGUCUUCACUUUGUUCCCAGUGCUGAAGGCCCCCCUGAAAGUGGCUGUGGUCACACCGAGUCUCAACACCAGCCUAUUCGGGAGACUCCAAGGCAGCCCACCCAAGAAUCACUCAAAACGCCAGAUUUCACUGGAGCGUGUUGGCCGCGGACCUCCUGUCAGUGGCUUUAAAGCAGCGCAGGCAGGAGCCCGAGGGACCCCCUUCGCCCAGAGGACACCAAAGAGACUCCGCUCUGCCGGGAGGGCCGCGGGGCGGCGCAGAGCCAACGGGCUGGCGGAGGAAGAGCGCGCACCGGACGUCUGCCCUGGGGCCCCUCGUCCUGGAGGCGGACGCCCUGCGUUCGGUGCGAUUCCCGAGGCCAGGCUGCUGAGGGCGCUAGGGUCCCGUCCUCGGGGGCGGCGCGGCGGUCCUUUGCCGGGGCUGCUUGGGGGGCGCGGGCUCCUCGCUCGCAGGGGCGCGGCUGUUUCCAGGGCCUUGGGCGGUUCGAGCGAAGUCGGCGGGGCGGAUAGUUGUGGCCGAAAUGCCACUUUUGGGGGUUAG